UUAAGUUCAGCGGGUAUUCCUACCUGAUCCGAGGUCAACCUUGGUGCCGCCGGAGCGGGCUUGAGGGGGGUUUAGAGGCCGGAUAGCCCGAGGGCUCCCGAUGCGAGGCAGAUAUUACUACGCAAAGGAAGGGCCCGACGGGUCCGCCACUGGUUUUCGGGGACUGCCUGGGCAGAUCCCCAACGCCGGGCCACGGGGGC
RNAcentral lists this unclassified non-coding RNA (200 nucleotides) under uncultured Sordariomycetes. Its description in RNAcentral is "sequence contains ITS2". The record is from RNAcentral. Lineage: Eukaryota; Fungi; Ascomycota; Sordariomycetes.